ACGCUCGACACCUACGGAGGCAGCAGUGGGGAAUAUUGCACAAUGGGGGAAACCCUGAUGCAGCGACGCCGCGUGAGCGAAGAAGUAUUUCGGUAUGUAAAGCUCUAUCAGCAGGGAAGAAACUGACGGUACCUGACUAAGAAGCACCGGCUAAAUACGUGCCAGCAGCCGCGGUAAUCUGAGGCGGGCUGGACAAGGC
RNAcentral lists this ribosomal RNA (199 nucleotides) under uncultured bacterium. RNAcentral describes it as "partial 16S ribosomal RNA". It matches the Rfam family "Bacterial small subunit ribosomal RNA", at positions 328 to 538 of the family's 1533-position model. The record is from RNAcentral.